This 211-nucleotide unclassified non-coding RNA is filed under the name uncultured fungus. RNAcentral's name for it is "sequence contains ITS1, 5.8S rRNA gene". The stretch from base 163 to 211 matches the Rfam family "5.8S ribosomal RNA", at positions 1 to 49 of the family's 154-position model. The record is from RNAcentral. Lineage: Eukaryota; Fungi.
UUUCCGUAGGUGAACCUGCGGAAGGAUCAUUAGCAGAAAUGCGCGCGCAACCCGCAAGGGCUCGCCGCCACUCUCUAAUCUCUCACCCUGUGCACCGUGUCCCCUUUUUUUCGCGCCUCGCGAAAGUCUCAAGUCACGAAGUCACUACGUAAAAACGAGCAUAAAAUGAAGCAACGGAUCUCUUGGCUCUCGCAUCGAUGAAGAACGCAGC